This 71-nucleotide transfer RNA is filed under the name Marmota monax (woodchuck). RNAcentral's name for it is "tRNA.Ala". The record is from RNAcentral. Lineage: Eukaryota; Metazoa; Chordata; Mammalia; Rodentia; Sciuridae.
GGGAUUGUAGCUCAGUGUUAGAGUGCUCUCCUGGCACAUGUGAGGCACUGGGUUCCAUCCUCAGCAUCACA